This 423-nucleotide ribosomal RNA is filed under the name uncultured bacterium. RNAcentral's name for it is "bacterial SSU rRNA". It matches the Rfam family "Bacterial small subunit ribosomal RNA", at positions 355 to 774 of the family's 1533-position model. The record is from RNAcentral.
UGGGGAAUAUUGGACAAUGGGCGCAAGCCUGAUCCAGCCAUGCCGCGUGUGUGAAGAAGGUCUUCGGAUUGUAAAGCACUUUAAGUUGUGAAGAAGGAUGGAAGUAACGACUCCAUUUUGACAUUAGCAACAGAAUAAGCACCGGCUAACUUCGUGCCAGCAGCCGCGGUAAUACGAAGGGUGCAAGCGUUAAUCGGAAUAACUGGGCGUAAAGCGCGCGUAGGUGGUUAAUCAAGUUGGAUGUGAAAUCCCCGGGCUCAACCUGGGAACUGCAUCCAAAACUGAUUGACUAGAGUAUGGUAGAGGUUAGUGGAAUUUCCUGUGUAGCGGUGAAAUGCGUAGAUAUAGGAAGGAACACCAGUGGCGAAGGCGACUAACUGGACUGAUACUGACACUGAGGUGCGAAAGCGUGGGUAGCAAACA